This 492-nucleotide ribosomal RNA is filed under the name uncultured bacterium. RNAcentral's name for it is "partial 16S ribosomal RNA". It matches the Rfam family "Bacterial small subunit ribosomal RNA", at positions 28 to 507 of the family's 1533-position model. The record is from RNAcentral.
GAUGAACGCUAGCUACAGGCUUAACACAUGCAAGUCGAGGGGCAGCGGUAUCGAAAGCUUGCUUUCGGUAGCCGGCGACCGGCGCACGGGUGAGUAACGCGUAUCGAACCUGCCUCAUACUCGGGAAUAGCCUUGCGAAAGUAAGAUUAAUGCCCGGUGUUUUCAGAGUCCCGCAUGAGGCUUUGAACAAAGAUUUAUCGGUAUGAGAUGGCGAUGCGUCCCAUUAGCUUGUUGGCGGGGUAACGGCCCACCAAGGCAUCGAUGGGUAGGGGUUCUGAGAGGAAGGUCCCCCACAUUGGAACUGAGACACGGUCCAAACUCCUACGGGAGGCAGCAGUGAGGAAUAUUGAUCAAUGGGCGGAAGCCUGAACCAGCCAAGUAGCGUGCAGGAAGACGCCCCUCCGGGUUGUAAACUGCUUUUAGUUGGGAAUAAAACGGGGCUCGUGAGCCCCCUUGCAUGUACCAUCAGAAAAAGGACCGGCUAAUUCCGUG